This is a long non-coding RNA of Acanthopagrus latus (yellowfin seabream), 339 nucleotides long. RefSeq lists it as uncharacterized. The record is from RefSeq and is a predicted model, not a curated record. The transcript has 2 exons. NCBI's taxonomy places the organism in Eukaryota, Metazoa, Chordata, Actinopteri, Spariformes, Sparidae.
UGAAGUCAGCAGUCAGUUGGAGUCACUGGGGCAUGAAUCUCCAGAGAGCGGUGGACACGGAAUGAGCUCGGGCUGAUUUCAGUCAGGAGGAAGGUCGUCACCACACAAAUGAAAAACAUGAGAAGUGGUUCAAGGUCUAAUCAAGUCCUCAGACUGUGCUCACUGGGAGCAAUUAAGUUCCUCCCUCUCGCUCAACAUAGGAGGAAUCAACCUGUCUCUGUUUCUUCUCCGAGCAUCUGGCUUGUACCACACAUCGCUGUUCAAAUGCAAUGCAAUUGUGAUGCUUACCAUGUCAAAUUGAAUAAGGAGUAAAAAAAACAAACAAAAAUUUAAAUGAUA